GACGAACGCUGGCGGCGUGCUUAACACAUGCAAGUCGAACGGGCCUUGUCCCCUUUUUUUUUGGGGGUGGGGUUAGUGGCGAACGGGUGAGUAACACGUGAGUAACCUGCCCCUCACUUCUGGAUAACCGCUUGAAAGGGUGGCUAAUACGGGGUGUUCUGGCCUGCUCGCAUGGGUGGGUUUGGAAGGAUUCGACCGGUUUGGUUGUUUUGGUGGGGGAUGGGCUCGCGGCCUAUCAGCUUGUUGGUGGGGUGAUGGCCUGCCAAGGCUUUGACGGGUAGCCGGCCUGAGAGGGUGGGCGGUCACACUGGGACUGAGACACGGCCCAGACUCCUACGGGAGGCAGCAGUGGGGAAUAUUGCACAAUGGGCGCAAGCCUGAUGCAGCGACGCCGCGUGAGGGAUGGAGGCCUUCGGGUUGUGAACCUCUUUCGCCAGUGAAGAAGGUCCUGCUCUUUGUGGUGGGGUUGACGGUAGCGGGGUUAAUGAAGCGCCGGCUAACUACGUG
This 507-nucleotide ribosomal RNA is filed under the name uncultured bacterium. Its description in RNAcentral is "partial 16S ribosomal RNA". It matches the Rfam family "Bacterial small subunit ribosomal RNA", at positions 28 to 507 of the family's 1533-position model. The record is from RNAcentral.